Molecule: ribosomal RNA, 467 nt
Filed under: uncultured bacterium
Lineage: Bacteria
Description: partial 16S ribosomal RNA
Rfam family: Bacterial small subunit ribosomal RNA
Source: RNAcentral
ACGAACGCUGGCGGCGUGCUUAACACAUGCAAGUCGAACGGAAAGGCCCUGCUUUUGUGGGGUGCUCGAGUGGCGAACGGGUGAGUAACACGUGAGUAACCUGCCCUUGACUUUGGGAUAACUUCAGGAAACUGGGGCUAAUACCGGAUAGGAGCUCCUGCUGCAUGGUGGGGGUUGGAAAGUUUCGGCGGUUGGGGAUGGACUCGCGGCUUAUCAGCUUGUUGGUGGGGUAGUGGCUUACCAAGGCUUUGACGGGUAGCCGGCCUGAUAGGGUGACCGGCCACAUUGGGACUGAGAUACGGCCCAGACUCCUACGGGAGGCAGCAGUGGGGAAUAUUGCACAAUGGGCGGAAGCCUGAUGCAGCAACGCCGCGUGCGGGAUGACGGCCUUCGGGUUGUAAACCGCUUUCGCCUGUGACGAAGCGUGAGUGACGGUAAUGGGUAAAGAAGCACCGGCUAACUACGUG